GAGUUUGAUUAUGGCUCAGAUUGAACGCUGGCGGCAGGCUUAACACAUGCAAGUCGAACGGUAGCAGGAGAAAGCUUGCUUUCUUGCUGACGAGUGGCGGACGGGUGAGUAAUGCUUGGGAAUCUGGCUUAUGGAGGGGGAUAACUACUGGAAACGGUAGCUAAUACCGCGUAAUAUCGAGAGAUUAAAGACUGGGACCUACGGGCCAGUUGCCAUAAGAUGAGCCCAAGUGGGAUUAGGUAGUUGGUGGGGUAAAGGCCUACCAAGCCCGCGAUCUCUAGCUGGUCUGAGAGGAUGACCAGCCACACUGGAACUGAGACACGGUCCAGACUCCUACGGGAGGCAGCAGUGGGGAAUAUUGCACAAUGGGGGGAACCCUGAUGCAGCCAUGCCGCGUGAAUGAAGAAGGCCUUCGGGUUGUAAAGUUCUUUCGGUGGUGAGGAAGGUAUCAACUUUAAUAGAGUUGGUAA
RNAcentral lists this ribosomal RNA (470 nucleotides) under Pasteurellaceae bacterium canine oral taxon 080. Its description in RNAcentral is "bacterial SSU rRNA". It matches the Rfam family "Bacterial small subunit ribosomal RNA", at positions 9 to 478 of the family's 1533-position model. Lineage: Bacteria; Pseudomonadati; Pseudomonadota; Gammaproteobacteria; Pasteurellales; Pasteurellaceae. The record is from RNAcentral.